Molecule: ribosomal RNA, 433 nt
Filed under: uncultured bacterium
Lineage: Bacteria
Description: partial 16S ribosomal RNA
Rfam family: Bacterial small subunit ribosomal RNA
Source: RNAcentral
AACGAACGCUGGCGGCAUGCCUAACACAUGCAAGUCGAACGAGACCUUCGGGUCUAGUGGCGCACGGGUGCGUAACGCGUGGGAACCUGCCCUUAGGUUCGGAAUAACUCCCCGAAAGGGGUGCUGAUACCGGAUAAUGUCUUCGGACCAAAGAUUUAUCGCCUUUGGAUGGGCCCGCGUUGGAUUAGCUAGUUGGUAGGGUAAAAGCCUACCAAGGCGACGAUCCAUAGCUGGUCUGAGAGGAUGAUCAGCCACACUGGGACUGAGACACGGCCCAGACUCCUACGGGAGGCAGCAGUGGGGAAUAUUGGACAAUGGGCGAAAGCCUGAUCCAGCAAUGCCGCGUGAGUGAUGAAGGCCUUAGGGUUGUAAAGCUCUUUUACCCGGGAUGAUAAUGACAGUACCGGGAGAAUAGGCUCCGGCUAACUCCGUG